GCCGAACCUACCAAGUGAUUCCUACAAAAAAUACUUCAAAAACCCAUGUGCAAAUGGAAGAUACAUUGUGUGCUCCAACCAAAGUGCCAUGUAGGCAAGACCAAAUGAAAUUAAACAACGAAAGACCUCCCAUGCAAAGGCAAUUCAUGGCUGGAAUUCAAACAAAGCCAAAGCUCAAAAUGGAAAUCUUCCUAGAAUGAAAAUGAGCAUAUUUUUUGUUUGCCCAAAAGUGGUAAAAAAUUAAUGCAUCAUUCUCUCUCCUUUCUACAAACCAUUUUCGUUUCCUUCACCAACACACACCUUCAUAAUCUUUCUUCCUCUCCUAAAUACCAAGAAUGAGCACCCAAGAGACCCCAUUUGAAGUUGCAACUCCAUUCAAGACAAUAAACCCACACUAUUACUACUUAUACUCAACCCAAUCUUCCAUUUUUUCAAGCUCUUGUGCAAAAAAACGAAAAUAACAUUAUACCAUUCAACUCAACCACUGUCAAGCCCCAAUAACAUCAUCAAAGUCUGGUUCCAAACUAGUUUCAAACAUCAAAACGGAAAUAUGAAGGAAAAAAGCCAAACCCACAACACCCACACAUCAAGUUAAGCUCUAUUCAACCCAAAACUCACAUAGAAUUCCAUUUUCAUCAACCAACCAAAUAAAAUGCAAAGAAAAACGUGAGGAACAACAGCAAUGGAAGAGGAAACGAAAAUCUAAAGUCACUCAAACCCAACAACCACCAUAGAAAAGCAAAGACAAGCUUAAAAACUCAAGCUUUAAACAUCAAAAACAAGCAA
Molecule: long non-coding RNA, 786 nt
Filed under: Vigna radiata
Lineage: Eukaryota; Viridiplantae; Streptophyta; Magnoliopsida; Fabales; Fabaceae
Description: long non-coding RNA (VRAD_LNC014339)
Source: RNAcentral